RNAcentral lists this ribosomal RNA (451 nucleotides) under uncultured yeast. Its description in RNAcentral is "partial large subunit ribosomal RNA". It matches the Rfam family "Eukaryotic large subunit ribosomal RNA", at positions 151 to 595 of the family's 3401-position model. Lineage: Eukaryota; Fungi. The record is from RNAcentral.
UAAAGGGGCUAACAAAAAGGGAUGUGGAAGCAUAAGUUCCUUGGAACAGGACAUCAUAGAGGGUGAAAAUCCCGUAUGUAGCUUCCACUGAACUGAAUGUUGACCUUCUAAGAGUCGGGUUGUUUGGGAUUGCAGCCCUAAAUGGGAGAUAAACUUCUUCUAAGGCUAAAUAUCUAUGGGAAACCGAUAGCGAACAAGCACUGUGAAGGAAAGGUGAAAAGAACUUUGAAAAGAGGGUUAAAAGACUUGAAAUCGUUGAGAAGGAAGCAGUAGAAGUGGAUUUAUGUUAGCUAUGAAGCAAGCCAUGUGAGGAACCAGCUCGUAGUGGUUAUGUACGUCAUUGGCUACCUGCUACGAAGUAAUGGCACUCUAUGGUGAUUUCAUAGUUAAAGGGCAGAACCAGGUCUAGUCUUGCUGGAGUCAGUUGAGAGAAAGUCCACCUUUCGGGGUG